Leopardus geoffroyi (Geoffroy's cat) is the source of this 459-nucleotide long non-coding RNA. RefSeq lists it as uncharacterized. The transcript has 3 exons. NCBI's taxonomy places the organism in Eukaryota, Metazoa, Chordata, Mammalia, Carnivora, Felidae. The record is from RefSeq and is a predicted model, not a curated record.
GCUAUUAUUCUUAAGGCCUUCCUCACUGCUUAGGCAUUUUCUGUCGGGAGACAUCAGCUUGGUGUCGAAACAAGAGGGGAAAAAUAACCGACUUGUUGGAAUUUCCUGAACUGAACUUGGCCUGGGAAGAAGGAAAGGCGUGGAUUCAGAUCUCCGGGUACUGUCCACAAAGCACAGCUCCGAAGAAGAAAGGGCCAGGCUGCUCAGGGCUCCAGCCGGACUUACUCAUCUGACACCUCAAUAGACGACUUCUUGUAGCCAGACUUGUUCCUCUUCUUCAGCCCAGCUGAUUUCCUCCCCAUCCUCACCAGCAGCAGGACAACCACCACGGCUGAGGGGACGAAGACAAGGACGGAGAGGAGGGCCACAGAGGAGAGCAUGAUGCCAAACCCUAGACGGGGGGGAAAGGGAAGACAGGCAGAGAGAGAGGGAGACGCAGAAUCGGAAGCAGACUCUGGG